UAGCUCAGUUGGUUAGAGCGUGGUGCUGAUAACACCAAGGUCGUGGGUUCGUUCCCCGU
Molecule: transfer RNA, 59 nt
Filed under: Apaloderma vittatum (bar-tailed trogon)
Lineage: Eukaryota; Metazoa; Chordata; Aves; Trogoniformes; Trogonidae
Rfam family: tRNA
About the family: Transfer RNA (tRNA) molecules are approximately 80 nucleotides in length. Their secondary structure includes four short double-helical elements and three loops (D, anti-codon, and T loops).
Source: Rfam by way of RNAcentral